Long non-coding RNA from Arvicola amphibius (Eurasian water vole), 5358 nucleotides. RefSeq lists it as uncharacterized. NCBI's taxonomy places the organism in Eukaryota, Metazoa, Chordata, Mammalia, Rodentia, Cricetidae. The record is from RefSeq and is a predicted model, not a curated record. The transcript is spliced from 4 exons.
ACACACAUACACUAAUACGGUGGAUUUGUAUACCAAGCUCCCAGUGAGACUCACACGUGGACGCAAACUGUGACCACUGACACUUUACACAAUUUCCGCUGAGCGGAGGCUAUGAGCAAAUGCAGAAUCUUUGCUCUGGUUACAUCUCCUCCACACUUUCUCAGGCAUAAGAGAAGUCAACCCUGGGGCUCUGGUUUCUUGAUGUGGGUGCAGCAGCCUCCAGGGAGGUGUCCCUAGUGCUAGGAGGACCAAACGUGUAAUGCCCAUGAUAGCGUUCACUGACUCGGAAAGCAUGUGUGUGGCCAUUAAUCUCAUUGUCAACUUGAUGCAAUCUGGAAGCACCUAGGCAUGCCUGAGGAUUUCCACGAGGGGUUAUGUCAGUGGGAAGGCACAACCUGACCGUGUGGGGCCAUUCCCUGGAUGGUACCGUGAUCCUGAUCUAGAGAAGUUGAGCAGAAAAGAAACAAAGAUGUUGACUCCUAUAGUGCACAGAGCCUGGGUUAGAUGCGCUCUCCUAACUCCUUCGCUUAGAGCAGAGGCUGAGACUUGGAGCCCUCAGGAUGUGGUCCUCUGGUCCCCCUCCUCCAGUGUGAAAACCUAUGCUGCAUCUCUCCAGGAGAAGCCUCGGCAGCUUCGGGAGGCAGCUGCUGUGGAUUCUACUGAACAACCCCACCGACUUCCACCGCCCCAGAGAAAUGCCUCAGGACCACACUGGAAGAAGCAAGUUAUAGAAAAAUGAUGAAACCGGCCACCUUGCCAAUAAUGAUCAAGAGCUUUGUUCUGACCCAGGGAGGCCACCUGUGCUGGAGAUGAAGAAGGGACGCUGUCCAGUCAGUUGAGGAGAGUUUUCAGACCCAUAAGACUGUGCAGAAAUAGCACUAUCCGAAUCUUCUUCAUGUGUUUGGGGGUGACAAGAGGACACAUGUGUUCAGGUGCCUGUCAAAGUCAGGAGAUGGUGUCAGAUCCCUUGGAGCUGUAGUUACAGGCUUUUGUGAGUUACCUGCCCUGGGUCCUGGGAACCAACCUUGGUCCUCUGGAAGAGCAUCACACACUCUUAGCCACUGCGCCAUCUCUCCAGCCCCUCUUCUGUUUGACCAACUUAAAAUGUUCUCACAAUUCUACUGCCUGGUAUUGAUUUUUGCAAGGAAUAAAAGGUCCCCAUUCUAAUCUGUGGAAGACGGAUAAUGGAGGCGGUCUGACGGGUUAGAGAUUAGAGCAGCUAAUUAGAUUAGAUGCUGUCAUGGACAACUAUGCUGUCCUCUGUCUUAUUUAAUACGUACAGAAUUCCCUAAAGGAAACACCUAGAAGCUCCGAGAGGGAAUCUGUGACUCCUGGAGGAAAUAAAAUUAUAGAGUUGCAUAAAAUGAUAACUCUGGAAAUGAGAUUGAGCCUAGGGACAUGACCCAGUGAGGCAAAUGGCCCUGUGCAAGCUGGAGAAUUGGAAUUUGAAUACUUAGACCCUACAUAGAAAGCCAUUUCAUGCUAGUGCUGUAACACAGGACAUAGAGGGAGGUGGAUCCCUGAAGCUCAUUGGCUGGCCAGCCUAGCUUACUGGAUGUGCUUCAGGUUAGGUGAUAAACCCUGUCUCAAAAGGUACAGGAGAAUGAUGAGGGAAAGACAGAUGACAUCAUUCUUGGGCCUCCAGUCAGCAUACAUCUGAACACAUGUACACACACACACACACACAUACACACACACCUACACACACACACACACACUCAAAACAAAUCUUUAAAAAGUAUUGAAAUAAGUAACCAAAACUACUUCUUAGGAGGAAAAAAAAGCAAAUGCCAAUCAUUUUAAGGUAAUUGUUUCUGGUCUACAAAAACAUUAUGCAGACCCCUUUCAAAGAAUACAUUGCCCAGGCUCUGUUUACUCCCUUUAGAAGUUAACCAUGAUGAAACAAACAGAACGUGAAAGUUACAGUCUUAACUGCUUAGAAGUAUUCAGUGCUGUUGAAUAUGUUCACAUUACAGGGCCAGUUCUUUCCAUAAGAAAUGUGCACAGAAAUGCACAGGCGCCUGUGGUGUCUGAAUGAAAAUGGCCCCAGGGACUAAUAAGGACUGUUGCUAUUUGAAAGGAUUAGGGCAUGUGGCCUUGUUGGAGGAAGUAUGUCACUGGGGGUGGGCUUUGGGGUCUCAAAUGCUUAAACUAGUUCCAGUGUCUCUUUCCUUCUUCCUUUCUUCCUUCCUUCCUUCCUUCCUUCCUUCCUUCCUUCCUUCCUUCCUUCCUUCUUCUUUUUAUUACUGUGGAUCCAGAUGUAAAGCUGUCAAGCCACUUCUCCUGCUCUAUGUCUGCCUGCAUUAAGCCAUGCUGCCCGCCAUGGUGAUAAUGGGCUAAACCUCUGCACUUUAAGUCAGCUCCAAUUAAUUUUUUCCUUUAUUAGAGUUGCCACGGUCAUGGUGCCUCUUCACAGUGAUAGGACACGGACUAAGACAACAUCUGUUCAUCCUUAUUGAUUUAAGAUUUAUUGUUGUUAUCUUUUAUAUGUAUGUAUGUGUGUUUGUGUGUAUGCAUACCUGUGUGGUGCCCUUGGAGGCCAGAAGAGGACAUCACAUCCCCUGGAGCUGGAGUAAUAAGCAGUUGUGAGCUGCCCUGUGGGUGCUGGGGACCAAACUCCAAUCAUCAGCAAGAGCAAGGUCUGCUCUUACUGCUGAGCCAUAUUGCCAGCCCUUCUUGCAUUUAUUUAUUUAUAUUUGUAUGUAUGUGUGUGUGUGUGUGUGUGUGUGUGGUGUGUGUGUGUGUGUGUGUGUGUGUAACCAUCACAGAGGACAUGUGGAGGUCAGAGGACAACUCGAAAGAGUCAUUUCUCUCCUUUCACCUUGUGAGCCCGGGGAUGGAGAACUGGGCUGUCAGGCUUUGCAGUAAGGGCCUUUAGCUGCUGAGCCAUCUUGCUGGUCCUCAAAUGAUUUAAAAAAUAUUGUCCUAUAAAUCAUCCCUGGGGUUAAAUCUUCACACACAGUAUUUUUUAAGCCUAGCUUUCUAUUUUUAUUUCCAGCUCACACCAUAGUCACCGUCCAGGAAAAGGCCGGAAGGGCUGAAAGGACUGGGAAGUCAAAGGGAAGAAAAGAGGAGAUGUAAUUUAUGAGGAUGGAGCUUUCUAGAGCUGGUCUGAGCCUGUUGUCCUGGCUGUCACCCUACUCUCAGUCUCCAAGGCCAUGUUUGCUCUCUCACAAGGCUCAGGGCAGGGCGGUUUUCAUCAUAUAGAGCAGUGGGGACACUCACUGGUGAGAGCCAGGCUUCCUUCCCGGUGCAUGUUGGCUAGAGAGGCACUCAUUAGCUAGAAUACCAUACUUACAGACACCGAUCUGAGCACUGAAGGCAAGAGAGGGCAAUGCUGAAAGGCAGCUAAACAAUUAGAAAGAUAUUCCCUGGCUGGGCAGACAGUUCACAGGUAAGAUACUUGUUCCCCAAGUCGAGGACCCAAGUUCAAAUCUCCAGAACCCACACUAGGCAGCACUUGCUGCUGGAUGUCUACAAUCCCAGAGUUCCCAUGGCAAGAUGGGAAGUGGAGACAGGAGAAUUCCCAGAAGCUGCAGAGCCAGGUAGCCUGGUGUCAUCAAUUGGUGUUACUAACCAGACGCACUGCAGACAAGCUGAGACUAGCUGGUGGCUCAUGUAUUGUAGAAAACACAAACUUCUCCACCCGCUCAGUUUAGCUGUGCUUUCCUGCUUUGGGCUAAAUGGCUGGGAUGGGCUUGGUCUUUCCUUUGCCUGGGAUCCCUUGGUCCAAUCCUCUCUAUCUCAGUCGCCAGGUUUUUGGACUUUAACAGAGAUGAAAACACAAAUAAAAUUAAAAGAUGUUAUUAGCUAAGAGCUUUUAUUAUUCAAUGAUCCAGUGAAAUUAUUUGGAAAAUGUAGUAUGUUGCCAGGGGAGACAGAUGGCUAGGGAGAGGGCUGAACCAUAAAGUACCACCAUGAGUGUGUGAGGGUCUGAGUUCAACCCUCAGAACCCACACAAAAAAGAAAAACAUAGAAACUAGCCGUGAUAUCCCAUGCUUGUAAUCUCGGGGCUGAGGAGGCAGAGACAGGAGAAUUCACGGCUCCCUGGCCAGACAGCCCAGCCUAAUGGAUGAACUCCAAGCCCAUAAGAGACCUUGAGACCUUGUCUCAAACAAACAAACACAAAACAAAAAACCCAAGGUGGGCAUCACUCAAGGAAUGAUACCUGAAGUUGACCUCUGGCCGCCACAGAUGCGCAAAUGCAUGUGUAUGCAUAUUUGCACAGGCAUGCACACACACACACACACACACACAAAUGGACUGAGCACAGAAUUUGUUUUUCACAUGAAUUAAAGUAGUUGACUAUUGUGUUUCUUAGUGUGUAGAAAAAAGGUAGUUAUUCUCUAUGGGACUUGAUUUCAGCUUUUGGUGGUCAUGUUCGAAUUGGCACUAAGGUGUCUGGCUGCUGCCUGACACAGGAACUCCAGUUAGUGAUGAGAGCCCAUCUGUAGUGAUGUGGGCAUGUCUGACAUGGAAUAGCAACUGUGCUGAAUGCAUGGGUGGAGAGUGAAUGAGUGAAUGCAGGUAUGGCCGUGGGUUUCCAGGAGACUGCGGACAGCUGUUAGAGGAAGAACUGAUAAGCAGCUGACACGAACCCAUUCAGCAAAAAUGCUUGUGUGCCAAGCACAUGUGGACACGCAGCACAAAUGAAUACAUAGUGCAUUGUCUGAGUUUAUCAGAAAGACUAACAAUCCCCGGCAAACCAGAAAAGAAUGGGGCUUCUCACUUUACCGUUGAUGGGAGCUGCUGAGUGAGUUCAUUAAAGGACAGAAUACUGUCUGGCUUCCUCUGGUGGAGGAAUACAAGGCUGGGGACUCUGGUUUAGACUGGAGCCCAGGGCUGGAUACAUACACAGAACUGAUGGGAGGCUGCAAACUCUGGAUAUAUUACUUGAGUUCCAGAGAACUGGUGUGUGUGUGUGUGUGUGUGUGUGUGUGUGUGUGUGCUGGGGUCUAGGAUAGGAGAAUAGGAACGGGGUGAGGAAGGGAUAGGGGAAUGGAGAUCUAUAGAGCCACUCAGCUAAUUCAGACACAGAACGGCACCCAUAGCCUGUGUACCCUGACUCCUAGGUAACUCGCAAGACCAGACAAGGAGACCAGUCCGUCCCGCUGCCAAAGUGCAUGUCAAAAGUAAAGACCCCAAACUGGGAGGGGAUUUCUUUGACAAAGGUUGGAAACUGAGACUGACAAGGGCUGGCGACAUGAAGAGAAACCAAUGACUGGUAGCAUGAACUUUGAAAUGGACUCUGCUAAACAUGGCCUGAAGGCUUAUACAAUAAAUUGGAAUGGGGCUGUUACUAAAAACAAAAAACAAAGAAGAAGAAAGAGGAGGAGGAGGAAGAAGACGAAGACGACG